RNAcentral lists this transfer RNA (75 nucleotides) under Pteropus alecto (black flying fox). It matches the Rfam family "tRNA". Rfam says of the family: Transfer RNA (tRNA) molecules are approximately 80 nucleotides in length. Their secondary structure includes four short double-helical elements and three loops (D, anti-codon, and T loops). RNAcentral also lists the same sequence under 1 other name. The record is from Rfam by way of RNAcentral. Lineage: Eukaryota; Metazoa; Chordata; Mammalia; Chiroptera; Pteropodidae.
GGUUCCAUAGUGUAGAGCAGUUAGCACGUCUGCUUUACACGCAGAAGGUCCUAGGUUCGUGCCCCAGUGGAGCCA